Molecule: long non-coding RNA, 1488 nt
Filed under: Linum usitatissimum (flax)
Lineage: Eukaryota; Viridiplantae; Streptophyta; Magnoliopsida; Malpighiales; Linaceae
Description: long non-coding RNA (LUSI_LNC003984)
Source: RNAcentral
UCCGAGUUCUGUCGAAAAUGAACGACUCGCCAAUCUUGAUAACGUUUUUGUCGGAGUAUCGACUUAAAUAGUCUCGUAGGUUUAACUUUUUUUGUGGACACCCUAAAGUUGUGUUUUUGUCACUUUAAUCGGAGUGAUAAUUUACUACUCAAGCCGUCUAAAUUUUCCGUCGUAUUUCAUCCGCUUUGCCGGCGUAAACCAACCACACAUGCAGCCACAUCAUCGUCAAUCCUAGUCACCCCUCAAUAAAUUAAAAAUUUACAAAAUUAAAAAGAAAAAAAUUCUCUCCCUCCACCCUCUUUGUUUUCCUGUAUAUGCAUCCUCUCCACUCUUUUCCUUGUCGCCGCUCCACUUUCCCCUCCGCCUCGUCCUCCUCCGCCACCCAUCCUUCAUCUCACGACACCUCUCCAUCUAGGCACUCUCAGUCUCCAGUCGUCUCCUCCUCUUCGCCGUCACCACCGACAACCUAUUCGCCAUUUAAGAGUCAAGGAGAUGGUGAAGAAAGGGAAGGAGAACGGGAUGAAAUUCUUGGACUAACGAAGGAGGUUGAUGAGUUGGUGAAGCAGAAGAAGGAUUCGGAGAAAAAAAUUAUUGGAUUGAAAGGAUUGGGGUGUCCGACAAGAGGAGUCUGGGUGAGAAGGCUGAGGAGAUUGAAUUGCUGAAGGUUGAGAUUGAGCGGAUUGAGAAGGAGAGAUGUGAUUAAUUGUCAAGAUAGAGUUCAUGGAGAAAGAUUUAAAUUUCAAAUUAAGAAUCUCAACAACAAGGGGAGCCAAAAUUAACUAACGCAUAUAUAAGUGAAGUAUGCAGUGAGAUUGUGAAACCACACUCAAUUUUUAACAUCUCAACAGCUGAAAGUUAUAGUCUUCGAAUCAAAUUUUUAACAGGAUCUAACAAACAAAUUGGUAAGACUUGAGUAAGAACCAUCAUCAAGCCUCGGUAAAGCUCUAGAUUUCCGAAAGAAGACCAACCCAUAAACUGAAAACGGUUGAGAAGCAUCAAUCAGAUGUCAGUUUCACUAUUCCCAGUUAUCGCAAACAGAAAACCAUCAUAGCGUAGCUAGCCGCUGAAUGUAAAAGAAAGCAGUUUCACUUCUUAGAACAAGCAAAGACCUAAAAUCGAAAAUGACCACAAUUCAUCGCAAACGACAUUCAUGGAAAAGAGAUCUAACCUUGGAAACAAAGUAGGCUGCAAAGUUGAGACUAGCACCAGAAAGCAACUUAGCUUUUCUAUAUCGGUACAUGAUGAGAUAGAUUUCUUGGUUUGGUCUUUGAAUUACAGCUUGGGGUAGAAGCGAAGACUUGGGAGUUCUGGUAGUAGCUCUCUCUUUCUUUUCUUCUGGGUAGCUUCUGCUUUUGCUGUCUAUGUAUGUUAUCUUGUUGUUAUCAUGAGCAUGAGCUCAAACUCUAAACUUGGAUAUUAUUUUGUUGUUAACAACAUUUAUUCUUCUUUAUUUUCCUAUUAAGUAACAGAGUUAUGAAAUGGAGAGCG